AUGAAUUUUCCACUGGAAUGCCCUGAUGAACACCAGCUGUUUCAUCUUCUGGGUAACUGCUUCUACCCACUCAGAAGAAAAUCCAAUUCUGUGGAAACUGCCAGUUAUGGUGACCCACUUACCCAAGCCCAACCCCAGCCCUCACAUACACGCACAUGCAUAUACUCACACCACCUACCACAGGGCUGGGCCAGUGACCAGAGCCAGGGCAGGUAUAAUCUGGAUAUAGCCUGUGACAGGCUCAAGACCUCAGGUGUGCCAAUGAAACUUUUGCUGCAAUUUGUAUGGACUGAAACAGGAGGAGAAAAGUUUACCGCUUAUUUCUCCAUGGUCGCUGAGCUGGGACGAUUUUUAUUAAGUCAAGAAUAUGGAGCAAUGAAUAAGUCACAUGAGCUACCUUGGCCAUGUUGCAUAGAGAAAAUCUAUCUGCCCCAGGAGAAAAGGGCACCAUCAGGCAAAGGGGAGCAGAGACGGAAGAGAUGCAGAGAAAAUCCUGAUCCCCAGCUAACUGUGAGGCCAGCCACGCAUCACUCUUUCUAGUUGCAUGAAGUAAAUAAUCUCCUAUUUCCUUCAGUCGAUUUUACUUGUAUUUUUGUUACUUACAAUUAAAAAAAAAAAACCCAAUGCCAGCUUUUUCCCAGUCCUCACUGUUUUCGCCUUUUAUACCUAGAAUAUUUCAAAACAAUUUUAUAUUUUCUUCAUGCUAAUUUUAAAUCCUAAAUCACUUUUAACCAAUUCAGAAUCCCUCUCACCACCCCUGCUAAUUCAUAAUGGAGAAACAGAAAUGCAUUAUUCUGGAGAAUUAACAACUCAAAGACAUACUUUUCCCAUGACUGAAUUAGACCUUCCUGGAAAACAUCACCCCUAAUUCAGGUCUGUACAUUCUGGUAUGCAGCACAUGUUGAAUACCAAGCACCAUUAUAAUAAUUGAUAAACAGCAAAACCCUGGCUAAGUGGAGCCCUCUGGAUCCAUUAGACUUCUGGAACAGCUCCAGGUUCAAAAAUGACUGAACUAUUUGAACAAAACAAAGCAAAUAUCUCUCAGUUGUAGAGAAGCAAUUUCUGAGAACAGCCAACAUCAAAUGAGAGUCAGAAAUGCUUAGGAUCUAACUCAUCCCAUGGCUAUGAAAUGAAAGAAAAGCUCUCAUUGGAUGGCAAUACCUAUACAUUUCAUUAUUCAAGAAACAUGAGUAAAAUGACAGGAAAUGCGAGAGGCUAGAAAGACAGAAUGUAGAAAAAAAGAGAGCGGGAAUGACAAAUAUGAGUAAAUGUGGAGGCAGUGGUAAAGACGGAGUUCGGAUGUGGUGCUGGCAUGGUGAGCGGCAGACACCCCCACACUGUGUAAAAGGCUUGCCAGGGGAAUGAGCUAGGAAAUGUGGCCAAGGCCAUGGGAGCCCAAGAAGAGUGCCAGCAGGACACAGCAGAUGUGUACCCACAUGUGGUGGGAAAAGAGGAGAAGCCUAUACCCCACUCUCCUUGAAAUAUCCAUGGGGUCUCAUCAAAGCCACAACACCUGGUACACAACUUAGCAGUCUGUGGAGGUGUUCCCUGUUCACUGCAUCAAGUCAAACUAAAUGACAAAACUGAGCCAUAACAGUAACUUUGCUGGCACCAUAUUGGGGGGGAAAAAAAAGCUUGGCAUCUUAGUGAAACCACUCCUUGACUUAAAUUGCAUUUUUUAAAUGGAAGCCAAAGUGUAAAAAUCUAAAAUGUAUUUAAAAAUUUUUAAAGAGAAAACAGAUUAUAUGUACCCAGUUGCUCUAUCUUGAACUUGACUGCUGUAUUUUUGCUUGUUUGUUUGUCCUGGGGGAGGGGCAGGGUAGAGGGGAGCAUGGGCAAAGGCACUGUUGUGAGAAAGAAGGACCUCCCAAAGGUCUGCAGAGAAAGUGACGGGAGGGCAUUUCCUUCUGGCAAGCAAUAAGCUAGGUGCUCCAGGAGUAGCAAUGCAUGUGGAAGAGCUUAACCUUUCCCUUUCACUCUUUUCUUUGUAUUUCCCAAGUCACUGAUCACUUUUGUUAACUAUUCCAGCCCAGCCAACGCCUUCUGGGAAUUAAGAGAGGGGCCUGUUUCUGUGAUGAGACAAGUCAGUGCAAGGAAAUCAGCAGAAGCCAUGAGAAGUUGGUUACAAAACAGCAAAGGAUGCUGAGGCACAGAGAAGUCAUCUGGAACAAAAUGACCAGUUGAAGGGAGACACAACAACCAGGAAAGAGUUGUGGGGCACAUGAGCGUUCUUGGGGAUUCUCAGAAGAGUGUGGGGAUGGGUUGUGAGAAGAUACUACAUUUUCUGUGCAUGUGGAAAGGAUUCCCACAUUAUUAUUAUUAUCAUCAUUAGUAUUAUUAUUCAGAUUAAGUGUGACCUUAAAGGCUGGAGAACAUUGAGAAGCCAGAGGAACACUGACACAUGCAAGUCAAUCCAGACAGUGCUGCUUAUCUACCCUCUAUGACACUGAUGCCCAGAAGAGGAAGCUACAACGGUUUUUCCGAGCACGCACACAUAUAGUAAAGAUGCAUCUUCCACAAACAAAAGCUUACACUACUUUUUUAUGUUUUCAGCCAUAUAACAUCAUAAUUAUUCCAUUUCUGGUUCAAUGCUCAAUGGAAAAUUAUAAUGUUUUAUGAAUAAUUGAAGCUGACUGAAUCAUGUACAUUUUUAUCAGGGCUAAUUUUGAUGUUUCAUACAAAGGUAUGGCAUCAAAAGGCUAAAUAUAGUUGGAAAAAGAAUUAUUAAUUCACAUCUCAUAAGAAAAGCUGCAAGUAGAAGAUUAAUAUUUGGAAGGUGUUUUCACUGUCAGUAGUGGAGAAAUCAGAGGAAAAGUAAGUUGUACUCACAUGACAAUGCAUUUCAUAAACCAUUAAAGUACAGAAACAUUUUCUAUCAUAUAAAUGCUCCUAUUAAAAUAAGUUAUUGCAUAACUUGUACACUUAUAAGAGGGACUGGUCACACCUGAAGUAUCUGAAGUCAAUUCUAAAGUCAGUGGUAUAAGUAAGAGGCAAAUCUGGAAAUUUGCAAUCCAGAAUAAAUGAGGCUGCUUUGGAAAACAGGGGUAACAUUAUAUCCCAACUAUUAUGGAACCCACUAAUGUCAGCUGGGUUUGUGGGCUCCUAAAAUGAAGAUUACAUUUCCUGGUCAUCUUUGCAGAUAGGUGCAACCAUACGACCAAGUUCUGGUCAAAGAAGUGGUGUGUACAUCUUUGGAAAGUGUGCAAAAAGGAAAAAGGCAUGAUCUUCUCCUUUCUUUUCUUCCUUCUUUUUGCUGAUAUGGGCAACAACUGGAGCUUCAACAAACCUCUUGGACCGUACACACGCCCUGAAGGGACGGCAGAGAGGAAAACUGGAGGCGGUUUGUGCAUACCACUCCUGGAUGGUAACCUCCAGUUUUCACAUGAGACGACAAAACGUUCUGAUUUAAGCUGCCAUAUUUGGGUUUUCUUCCACAAGACACUGAACCCAAUUAUAAUAAAUACAAGGGAAAAGUAAGACUGUCUCAUGUUCCUGACCUGGGCUUGGAGGAUGUCAGUAUCUAAGAAAGUUUUUUUUUUGAUACAUUUAAAAAUUAAUAACCAAUUCAUGGAAAUAAGCCAAGUACUAGAAAGUUAGAGAUUCAAAUAAGUCAUUUCUUUAUCUCUGGAACACACAGGGGCUGGGACAGAUUCUGUAAGAUGCUGCAGCAAGUCACAUCUUAUGGGCCAGACUGUUUAGAUUCUUCCUAGUGUGAUUUCUUCCAACAAUCCAUAUUUAUUUCCCUGCUUUUUUCCUUGGGCAGUUAGCAAAAUUUUGUUUUGUUUCACUGGGACAAAAUUAAAAGAAGGACAGGAGCCUCCUGACACUUGUAUACCUGUGUGAAGCUGACAGUAGAAAAAACAAGAAAUCCUAAAUGAGUGAUUCCCACUCCCACUACAGGAAGAACACCUUCUUAGAACAAAUAUUUUGUGAACCUCCCUUUGCUAUACUAAAAUAAAAUUCAAAGAUAAUAUAACCUAUCUGCACAUAUGAAGAAAUCCGUGUAUUAAACUAUAUUAUCAAAGGAAAAUAGUUGAUGAUAAUGAUCUUUGAUAAGUAAAUGCUCAAGUAUGAUCAUGCUAGAAGACAAAAGUGCCUCCACAUUUUCAAAAUAUUCCCCAGGGAGUGUACAGUAUGCAAUGCCCUAUAUGAUAUGGCGCUUUCCUACCUUGGGAAGUGAUAAAACUUCAGGAUCAGAACGAUGUCUCUUCCUUUCUAUAAGAGCUUCUCCUUCCAGAGACACCUUAAAGUGCUUGGUUUU
Molecule: long non-coding RNA, 4261 nt
Organism: Callithrix jacchus (white-tufted-ear marmoset)
Lineage: Eukaryota; Metazoa; Chordata; Mammalia; Primates; Cebidae
Source: Ensembl